UCCGGAAACGGGUGCUAAUACCGCAUAGGAAGUUUAUUCGCAUGAACAAACUUAGAAAGAUGGCUCUGCUAUCACUUAUCGAUGGCCUUGCGGUGCAUUAACUAGUUGGCGAGGUAACGGCUCACCAAGGUGAUGAUGCAUAGCCCGACCCCUGAGAGGGUAAUCGGCCACAUUGGGACUGAGACACGGCCCAAACUCCUACGGGAGGCAGCAGUAGGGAAUCUUCCGCAAUGGACGCAAGUCUGACGGAGCAACGCCGCGUGAGUGAAGAAGGUUUUCGGAUCGUAAAACUCUGUUGUAAGAGAAGAACAAAAUUGUAGAGUAACUGCUACAGUCUUGACGGUAUCUUACCAGAAAGCCACGGCUAACUACGUGCCAGCAGCCGCGGUAAAU
Molecule: ribosomal RNA, 393 nt
Filed under: uncultured Aerococcus sp.
Lineage: Bacteria; Bacillati; Bacillota; Bacilli; Lactobacillales; Aerococcaceae
Description: bacterial SSU rRNA
Rfam family: Bacterial small subunit ribosomal RNA
Source: RNAcentral